AUGAAAGCCCACGAAAAUUCGCAAAGAAGCCUAAAAACCGUGCAUCUCACCAUCACAAUAAAGAACCCAAAAUAUGAUUUCAUCAUCAUUUUCCCAAAAAACGAAAACCCUUCAGAAAAUUGGAAAGAGGAAAAGAUUUCCGAAUCACAUAGAAGAAGAAGAAGAUACAAGAUUCAUAAAGAUAUCACCCGGAAGAAACCGAAAGCCACCGUCAACCUCCUUUGUCUCGCUGAAAAAUCGCUCACCUCACUGAAUCUCCUCCGCUCACCUCUUCUUUUCCGUCUAAAAGAUACCUAA
This is a non-coding RNA of Vicia faba (fava bean), 297 nucleotides long. Lineage: Eukaryota; Viridiplantae; Streptophyta; Magnoliopsida; Fabales; Fabaceae. The record is from the annotation of a GenBank genome assembly.